This is an RNA transcript of Triticum aestivum (bread wheat), 3086 nucleotides long. It is a transcript of the gene named pentatricopeptide repeat-containing protein At2g01390, with no coding region annotated. The transcript has 4 exons. The record is from RefSeq and is a predicted model, not a curated record. Lineage: Eukaryota; Viridiplantae; Streptophyta; Magnoliopsida; Poales; Poaceae.
UGAAACACACGGGCAUAGCAAUUCCCCGUCGCAUUCUCAGCAGCCUCGCCGCCGCCGAAAAUGCUCCGCCGCCAGCGCCACUUCCUCCCCGCCAAGCCCCGCCGCCGCCCGAAGCCCCAGCCCAAACCCGCCGCCAAGCCCUCCGCCCCGACGUACACCCGCGACGUCGUCCGGCGCGUGACCAACAUACUCCGCGACCACCCCUGGUCGGCGGCGCGCCCGCUCCUCCUCUCCCUCCCGGACCUCGUCUGGGACUCGCACGUCGUGGCGCGCGUCCUCAAGACCCACCCGCCCCUCCAGAAGGCCUUCCUCUUCUUCCGCCUCGCGGCCUCCCCGGCCGCCGGCCCCACACCCAGGGCCGCCUUCCGCCACGACCGCUACACCUACACCUCCAUGCUCCACCUCCUCGGCGAGGCCGGCCGGGUCCCCGCCAUGCUCCGCCUCCUCGCCGAGAUGCUCCGCGCCGGGGUCGACCCUGACGCCGCCACGUUCACGACCGUCAUGCACUGGCUGGCGCGCGCAGGGGACGUGGACGCCGCAAUGCGGGUGUGGGAAGAGAUGCGCUCCCGCAGGGGGAAGUGCCGCCCCACGCUCGUCAGCUACACGGCGUGCGUCAAGAUCCUGUUCGACGCCGGGAGGGCCGCCGAGGGCAGGCGGGUGUUCGAGGAGAUGGUGGCCGAGGGGCUGCGGCCCAGCUGCACCACCUACACCGUGCUCAUCGAGCAUCUCGCUGACGCAGGAAAAUUCCAAGCUACUCUACAAAUUAUGAGUGACAUGCAAGAUGCAGGCGUAGAACCAGACAAGCCACUCUGCAAUAUUCUAGUCAAGAAGUGUGCCAGCGCUGGUGAGACGUCAGUGAUGACCUUCAUUCUUCAGCACAUGAAGGAGAAAGGCAUUGUUCUCCGUAGGCCUGUCUUUUUGGAAGCACUAGAAGCUCUAAAAGCUAGUGGUGAGAGCCCUAAUCUUCUUUGGGAAGUGAAUCCUCAUCUUGCAUCUGAAGGAAUGGAAUAUGACCCAACAUUUUCUCAUCUAAGCUACAAUACUGACAGAAGUACGAUUAUAUACCUUUUGGCUUCUAGAAACUGGUCUGCUAUCGAACAAAUGGUAAAUGAAUUGACCACGAGGAAUGUGAAGUUUGAGUCGCAUAUACUAUCUGAUAUUAUUCAGGCCAGCUGUGCAAACUGCAGACCAUCAUGUGGACUCACAGUUCUGUACUAUGGUCUAAGAGUAGGCAGUGAACUUGACAGGUCUGCAUAUAGUUGCCUUCUUGGUCAAUACAUCAGAAAUGGUUCGUUUGAUUUGGUAUCUAAGAUUGUUGAAAGAUUAAUUAAGUGUGGCUGCAAUCUUGGAGCAUAUCUGUUAUCUGUCUUAAUACUCAGAUUGGGUUCUGCUGGGCAUUCUUCAUACGCGGCACAUAUCUUUGGGUUAUCACCUGCAGACCAGAAUGUGAUUACCUACACUGCCCUUAUGAAUGCCUAUUUUCAAGCUGGCGAAGUUGAUAAGGCUCUUGAACUAUUCUCUCAAAUGAUAACUAAUGAGAUAUCUGCUUCUGCGGGUACAUAUGAAGUACUGAUAUAUGGCCUGCAAAAGGCUGGGCGGAAACAGGACUCUGACCGUUACCGAAGAGAAAGAAUGGAGAUGCAAUGGCAUCGUCAGUACCGUGACAAGCAUUCCCCUGAAGAUAGCUUAUGUGACCAUUUAUUUUGUGGCUUUCAUGGUUAGAAGAUUGUUUGUUGGGUGAUGUUCCAUACUUGGGCUUUCCUUAGCUCUACCCACCCAGCUUCAUGUUUUGUCACAGAUUGAAGGUGUAUAAAUGGAUCUCCUGAUAUUUGCUUUGACAUGAAGUUAUUAGACACCCAACAUGCGAUUACUUUUCCAUGGCAUGGUAAAAGAAAAUAAAACUGGUUGAUCUCUACGUGGUUGGUGAAACUAAAUCGAGAGUGUCUCAUGAAAGGAUUGCUGAAUUUGGAACCUAGAAUGUAUAAGCUGACUCUUUAUGUUAGUGACGACUGCUGAUGUAAAGGAAGAAAAUCCAUCAGAGCUGAACCGUGGAAGGGUGAAAGCGCAUCAUUGGAGUACUAUGGAGGUCACGAGGCAGCUGGAGGUCUGGAAGUGCAAAGGAGCAACUUAGUUGUUGGAUAGCUUGUUGGAAUUUAAGCAAGAGCUCAAGGAUCCGUAUCUACCUUCUGAAUUAGGUACUGCAAACAAACAGCCAACGAAUUAUUUUUGCAAAUCGUUAACUGCAAGUGACAAGCACGCAGCUGAGAAAGUGUUUCCUCCAUUGGAUUUCACGAUGCAACCUCCAGCACAGGAGUUGUCUGCGAAAGACCUUCAUGGCAAUGAGUAGAAACUCAUUAGAGCUGACGAUGGAGGGGAUGUUGCAUGCUAAGAGAUGAUCACCUGGAGCACCCCAUCUCUUCCAUUUCCUCGUCCCACUGUCAUCCAAGUCGCCUAUUUUAAGCACGCCGGCAGUUUGAGUGGCGGUGAUUAAUUUAGACUUAGAGGUGUGAGAUAGUUAAGCUCGCUUUCGUUAACCGCUCCCUUCUACUACCUCGCAAGACCAUUGGAAAGCAAGAUGAACCGUACAAGCAUUUGCCUUUCCCCAAUGGAAAAAGGAAAGGUGGCAGUUUAGCCACAGCCACAGCUUGAAGCUUAACCACAAUGGAAAAAAAGGGAAGGUAGCAGUUUAGCCACCUCCUUGGCUCGAAGCUUAACCACAAUAUAAAAUCAGCUGGUCAGCAUUAUGUCAUGCGUGAUUCAUUCCAGUCAGGAAGGGUAGCUGCAAUGAAGAUUUCCAGCAAAGGAAAGGCGUUCCCCAUGGGAAACUACAAGCAAGGAAAGGCUUGAAUUCUCUGGACACCCUGACAACAACCACAUUAACUGCGGUGUAUAAACAACAUGUCAUCAGUGAAGAAAAUUUUGGCGAAGUGACCCGCAGAUGCUCAUAUCUGACCUAGAAAUAGCAUCUGUGCCCUGCAUAGUCCAGGGUUUCUAUGAAUUUGGAAGUUGCCACUUAGCAGGUUUCCAUGGGUGAUAGUGAUACAGAGAUAGGCUGAAGAAAAUUGGGAGCGAUGCACCAUGGCAAU